GAAACUAACCAGGAUUCCCCCAGUAACGGCGAGUGAACAGGGAUUAGCCCAGCAUCGAAGCCUACGCCUGUUUGGGUGUAAGGCUAUGUGAUGUUUUGGGGCAUGCCUAGGGUCACUGGUCAACUCGAAGUCCAAUAUUGAAAGUGGCUUGUGAAUAUGGCCCAUGGCGGGUGAAAGGCCCGUGCGAGUUGUCUGUCAGUCUUGUCAUAGUGGCCUCUAGAAGCAUGCUCUAUGGAGUCGGAUUGCUUGAGAAUGCAGUCCAAAGUUGGUGGUAAACUCCAUCAAAGGCUAAAUACUGGCACGAGUCCGAUAGCAAACAAGUACCGUGAGGGAAAGUUGAAAAGUACUCUGAAGAGAGAGUAAAUAGUACGUGAAACCACAUACAGGUGAACUGGUGGAGUCCAGCUGCGUGUCCCGUGGACAUAGCUGGCGUGUUGGCAACAUGCACAGUUUGUUGUAAAAUGGCAAGUUGGGUCUGCGCCCAAUUCACGUUCGUCGUGUUGACGAUGUGAGCCGUGCCGUGCAGUCCAGUACGACGAUUGUCAACGUGCUAGUGUCUCUCCUCGGGACUGGCAUCACAGUCAAUAUUACUGCCAAUGUGUGAUGGUUAAACCGUGGAAUGGUGGGCCUUGAAGUUCGCCUUCUAUGUGGACGGCAGGUCGCCUAGUUGUCUGCUUUUUGCGGCCAAUUCGGCUUAAUCAACGGUUACGGCCGGCCGGUCAUCAUGUUGUGUGUAGUGUGCAUUCACUUGUGCAGUGUAUUGGUGAAGAGUUGCGUCGCCCAACGGUUACAGCGUCCCGUCGGCCUGUGUACGGUUAUGCGUAAAAGCGUGCCGUGCAUUGGGCGGGUGUGGAUGUUGUGAUUGUGCGGUGGUGUUCUCGCAUAAACUGUGGUGUUGUGGUA
This 903-nucleotide ribosomal RNA is filed under the name Monocotyle spiremae. RNAcentral's name for it is "eukaryotic LSU rRNA". It matches the Rfam family "Eukaryotic large subunit ribosomal RNA", at positions 61 to 638 of the family's 3401-position model. Lineage: Eukaryota; Metazoa; Platyhelminthes; Monogenea; Monocotylidea; Monocotylidae. The record is from RNAcentral.